GACAAUAACGAUGGAACCUGCAGCUGUGGGUUAGCGAUGCUGCCCGCUGUCGAUAAUGAAGUAGAACCCUGGAAUUUAGUUUGUUUCCACAGUCCUCCAGCAAGGGGCAGUACACGUGCCGAGUCAGGGAGCCUCCAUACAGUGAGAGGAAGAGAAGACGAGCUGCGUGUCUCCUGAUUGGACAGCUGAUCAUCUCUAUCAGACUGAGACAUGGUGUUACAGCAACAGUCCGAGCUGAUGAGUCUGAAGAAAAAGGCUGGAUAUUGUGUGGAUUUAUGAGGAGCUAACGCAGUUUAGAGCCUGAGCUCUGUAGAAGUUUUGUAAUGGAGGUUGGCUUGUGCUCUGUGAGAGAAACUCCACACACUCCUGCUGCUCAUCACUUACAGCUUUCUGAAGAUGUGCACACUGAGGAUUUUCUCACUUCUGCUGAAGGAACAGCCACCAUCACUGUGGACCAUCAGGAUUUCCUGAAAAAUCCUCUAAAACAGGAAGUGUCUGAAGAUGAUGGCUUUCCAUAUGAAGGAACAUCAAACUCUGUGAGCUGUGUUACUCCUAGUGAUCCGCUGGAUGAAGGAUUCCAGAUGCAGCAACCAAAAAAAGAGGAACCCGAAGAUGAUGAAUACCUCUACUGUGAGGACUGCAGAUCGUUCUUCAUCAACAAAUGUGAGGUUCAUGGUCCAGCUCUCUUCAUCCCUGAUACCCCUGUUCCCCUGGGAGUCCCUGACCGAGCCAGGCAGACACUGCCACCUGGUCUGGUGGUUCAGGAGUCCAGUAUUCCUGAUGCAGGACUGGGAGUGUUUAAUAUGGGAGAGACUGUUCCAGUUGGUGUGCACUUUGGGCCUUAUCAGGGAGAUGUAGUAGACUGUGAGGAAGCUAUGAACAGUGGCUACUCCUGGGUGAUCUACAGGGAGGAGCAGUGUGAACAGUACAUCGAUGGCAGGAGAGAGAUGCAUGCUAACUGGAUGAGGUUCGUGAAUUGUUCGUGUGAUAAUGAGCAGAAGAACCUUGUGGCGUUUCAGUACCAUGGUGGGAUUUUCUUCCGUUGCUGUCGACCCAUUAGACCAGGACAGGAGCUCUUGGUGUGGUACACAAAGGAGUACGCCAAAAAUCUCAGCAUUGCAUUCGGCUACAUCUGGAAGAAAAAGUGCUCUGCAAAUGAAAUAGAUAUUGAAUCAAACCAGUGGAUCUACACACAAGAUAAACCGCAUCAGUGCUUACAGUGUGGUAAGAGAUUUACUGAGAGAGGUACUCUGGACAAACACUAUCGUAUCCACACUGGGGAGAAGCCAUAUCACUGCUCAGACUGUGGAAAGAGUUUUACACAGCAGAGUACUCUCCAACGACAUCAGCGCAUCCAUACUGGAGAGAAACCGUAUUUAUGCUCGCACUGUGGAGACAAAUUUUCUAACCAGAGUAAUCUCCAAAGACACCAACGUGUCCACACCGGAGAGAAACCGUUUCAUUGCUCACUGUGUGGAAAGAAUUUUACACAACGGAGUACUCUCCAACGACACCAGCGCAUUCACACUGGGGAGAAACCGUAUCAGUGUCCUCAUUGUGUGGAGAGGUUUACUCACCAGAGCCUCCUCCAGUCACACCAACGCCUUCACACUGGAGAAAAGCCAUUUCACUGUCCAUUGUGUGGAAAGAGUUUUACUGAGAGAGGUGCUCUCAAGAAACACCAACGCAUUCACACAGGAGAGAAGCCAUAUCAUUGUCCAGAGUGUGGGAAGAAUUUUACUGAGAAAAGUGCUUUAAAAAAGCACCAGCGCAUUCACACAGGAGAGAAACCGUAUUACUGCUCACAGUGUGGACGGAGCUUCACUUUCUCAAGUUCUUUUAGUACACACAAGUGCACACACUCAGAGCUGGCAGCUUGCAACGUUUAGAUUUUUCUUUUUUUCAAACUAUAAACACGUAUAUGUUUUUUUACUUUUGUGCAAUUUUGCUGUUUCCCACUCCUUCCCUACACAACCCUUUUCCCUAUGGUGUGCUGCACUAUUAUGGGAAAGGUAAGCUAUGGUCCUACUAGAAGUACUUCUGUCUUUUCUGAAAUUAGUCAAAGCAAGUUACCCAACAUCUGGUGUCUAAUGCCCUUUACACAUUCCUCAAUAAUUUAGCUGAUGUUUGUCAUCUGGCUUUGCUGAAACAUAUAGCUGUGUGUCAACAACAUAGUUGUUGGUAGCUAAAACCAUGUUUAAUAAUAAUUGUACCCAGUGGUACCAUAUGCAGAUAAAAGAACAGUAGGCCUAGAACAGAGCCUUGUUAAGCAACCAUACAUUACUUUCAUACUCAAAGGGAAGUCACCGUUACAUGUAGAAAAUUAUAACAGUACAUCAAAUAGCAUAUGAGCCAGGAAAGAGCCAUUCUGUUAACCACUAUUACUUUACUAGUCCGUCUAGAAGAAUAUUGAGAUCUAUGGUAUCAAAAGCUUUACUAAGAUUGAGCAGCACACCCCUUAUCAGUGGCCAACAACUUUGGGCAGUAUUUGAUGAUUUACUACUUUAACCAAUGCUGUCUCAGUUCUGUGAUGAAACUUAAAUCUUGACCAAAAGAGGCCAUUUGCAUUUGUAAAUCUCUAACAGGCAGAUCUCUGAAGUUCAAAUGCACCAGUAUCGACUAUCAACACCACUGACUUAUCAGAGAGGCAGGAAGAAACUUUACCUUAGUCCUUUCACUGACUGUUUUACCUAAAUCAAGUGGGUUUAAAACCAGCUACAAGUGCAAUUUUUAUAUCAUGUAAGUUUGGGAUAUUUGUUACAAAGGAUAUUUUGUACGUUUCUGUGCAUGUCCUUUUCAUUGUGACACGUCUUUAUAUCCUUUAACCAGAAUAUACAUGUAACAUACUGGGGUGGUGGUAUCUCAAGUGAUCAGGGUUCAAGCCCCAGCACUGCCAAUCUGCCAACAUUAGGCCCUUAAGCAAGGUCCCCAACCCACCCCUGCUCCAGGUGCCCUACAUCAUGGCUGACCCUGCUUAACCCUGCUGAACCCCCAACCCCAAAGGAUGGGAUAUGUGAAGAAAGAAUUUCACUGUGCAGUAAUGUAUCUAUGACAAAUAAAGACAACUUAACAUACUUCCAUGGAAAAGAGAUGUAUUUUAACUCAGGGUCUUUGUUUUCUGUGACUGAUGACACAGUGUGUAACUGACAUACUGAGUUACAUUUUUAAUAGUCCUUGAUUAUUAUUGAUAAAGCACAUACACAUUACAAAGUCACAUUUCUCCCUUUCUAACCGCUAGAAACCUGGGUGAGGUUCUAUUUGUUUGUUUAACCAGGAGGCAGAUAUGGCUUAGCUGAAAUUGUUUAUUCUAAAACUUAGGCCACUCUGUGCAGAAGCCCAUAUCCUCCAACUGAGACCUUCUUAUAACCCAUUGAGUGAUUUCUGUGUCUAGGAGGUUUUUCCAGGCUUAUAAUCCACUGAACCACCAUGCUUAACUCCAGCCUCAUUAACAAGAAGUCUGGAUCAGCAUCUGACUGGACAGCAGGACUGGCUCAUGUGAGCCAAGAAAGUCCCCACCCUCCUUGAACACAUUAAGUGGUCAAGAAGUGCAAACCAGAAUAACAGCCAAUAACACAAUGACAAUUCAGACAAACUGGAAAAGAUGUAAAUGAUACCAUUUCAGAUGGAGGUACAUCAAGCUCUAUGAGCUGCAUCACCCUGGAUGACCUGCAGAAUGGAGAAUUUCAGAUGAAGCCUCUAAAAAAGGAGGAAGCUGAAGAUGAUGACUACCUCUCUAAGUCCAACUGUGAGGAUUGUAGAUGAUAUCCUGAUAACCCUGUUCCUCUGGGAGUCCCUGACCAAGCCAGCACUUCCACCUGGUCUGGUGGUUCAGGAGUCCAGUAUUCCUGAUGCAAGACUGGGAGAGACUGUUCCAAAAAAUUUUGUUAAGGUGCUUGUGGACCAUUUUUGCUACUUUCCAUGCGAAAAGGGUGUUUAUAUUGCUAGCUGUGUCAAACAUCAUGAUUUUCUUGGCAUAAUAUCUUAGUAUGCGCUCAGUUUCCACCUCUGGUCACCCAGAAUACACAACGCUACGAUUACAUUAUGUAUAGGUUUGGUUUCAUUAUAUUAUGUGUUACUAUUUUUUCCCCAUUUUUAUAAGAUUCCUUUUUAUGCUCUAGAAGGAAAGAGUGCCACUUGUGUCCAUUUUUUUUUUUUUUUUUUUAUAAAUCUCAAAUUUACCUUUACCAAACCACCAAGAGACACAAUAAUGAGGAGUAUGUGAGAAAGCUGAACUCAGAAGGAAAAUACUUGUGAACUCAUUAGACAAAUACUACUUUGAAAUCAGGCAGCUCCAGGUGUCAAAACUGCACCCGAUUCCAAGAUCUCUCAUGAACAAAUGAAAAAAAAAAGAAUGAACUGCCUGGACUUUUACUCGACAGAGUAAUCUCAUACUGCAUCAAUGCAUUCAUACUGGAGGAAAAGCCUUUUACUACACACAGUGUGGAGAGAGAUUUACUGAUCAUCAUAACUUACCAACGCAUUCACACAGGAGAGAAGCCAUAUUUCUGCUCCCAAUGUGGGAAGAGCUUUUACCCAUCAAAGUAGUUUCCAAAAACACAGCCGUAUUCACAAAGGAGAGAAACCGCAUCUCUGUUUACGGUGUGGGACGAGCUGCGGGAUCUCGAAAAACACUCGAGCAUUCACAUGAGAGAGAAGCCAGUUCUCUGCUCAGAAUGUGGGAAGAAUUUUACUCACCAGUGUAAUCUCCAAAUACAGCAGAGCGUUCACACAGGAGAGAAGCCAUAUCACUGCUCAGAGUGGUGCACUUUAAAACACACCAGAACAUUCACACUGAUUAGAAAUUGUAUACUUGCUUGCAGUUUGGCCGGAGAUUCACUUUCUUGAGCUCUUUCAGGACACACAAGUGCACAAACAUAGACAAGUUGUUAUUGGGUUGGAAGGAUGGAAGAGACUUAUAGAAGUGCUUCGUAGUGUCCAUGUAAAAUCGAUCCUCAUGCUUAUAUGAUUAGAUCAAGGUCUAAGAAUGCCAUUCAGCUAUAACCCUGUUAGAGAGGAGUUAGUAUGAGGUUGGUUUAGCACAAAUAAAGUCAGACUUUGUUAAGAAGAAGGUCCUUGUUUGGAGACAGACAGCCACAGUAAGUUCAGACCACUACCUGGGUGCAGUUCAGAGGAGGGUCUUGUAGCAUGUCCUCCUUGUACCAUGAGAAACGGUGAAUCCAGUGAAGUUGUGCUAGAGGCUGGAAGGUAUAAGUAUCUUCAGUAGGUGUGGCUUAUUUUAUAACAGCAUAGCAGUAAUAUGAAAUCCCCUAAAGAUAUGAUUCCCUCAUUAAGAGAGCAGGUAUAGAGGGAAAGCAGAAGAGGGCCCUGUACUAUACCUUGUGGGACACCUUCUCCUCCAUGUUCCCUGAAAUGAUAAUUCCUCCACUUGGACACAACCCACCACCAUGGUGUGCAGUGAAGGCUUUUGAGAAUAGACAGUCUUGUUUUGACAUUGAUUGUGUCAAAGGCUGCUGACAGCCCAAAGAGGAUGAGUGUGGAUGAAACAGUUUGACUGAUCUAGUGGAAUAAAUCUUCUCAAUAACAGCCACAGGGGCCAAAUCUUCUGUGAGGAAAUAAUGACAGUGAGGUCUUGCAAUAUGUAAGGGAUGGGAUGCAGUUGACAGGUGGAAGUAUUGUACUGGACAAGAAAAGUUGCUGGAUUUAUUCUGUAGAAAAUAAAAAAGAAGUUUUAGAUAUAUGGGAGGGAAGAGAUUUUCCCUUGUCUAUUUCGAACCAAUCCCUCUUCCUUUCCUUCUUCCAUAACAUUUUUCAUAUAGAAAUCUCAAUGCCAGUCCUUCCUCCCACUACCUUGCUCAUUGCUGCAUCACUAUGCUCAUUCCAACACUGUACUGCCCAAGAACAAAAAGAUUUUGCAAGUUUGACCAAUUGAUCUGCCUUUUUUGGAUUAAAUUACUUGCACAAUUGAGUGUACUACUGAAUAUUAGAGACACAUUAGCAUCUGACUAGCAUUCUAAUAUUUGUAAGUCCCAGAAUUUUUUAAAGGGACUUAGCACAAGGCAAAGGAAGGGAGAACAAGUGGCAGAAGCAGCUUGGCUUACUACAGAAGGUAAAAGAGUUCAGCUGUAUGUCUGGGAAUAUUUCUACUCAGCAUCUCAAUAAUCAGCAGUUUUGAUGAGCUUCAUCAUUUAAUAUUCAAGAUGCAAAGUAACAGCCGAGUUCUGUGUUUGCAGAUAUACACCAAUCAGGUAUAACAUUAUGACCACUGACAGGUGGAGUGAAUAAGACUCCUCAUCAUGGUACCUGUUAGUGGGUGGGAUAUAUUAAGCAGCAAGUGAACAUUUUGUCCUCAAAGUUGAUGUGUUAGAAGCAGGAAAAAUGGACAAGCGUAAGGAUUUGAGCGAGUUUGACAAAGGGCCAAAUUGUGAUGUCUAGACGACUGGAUCAGAGCAUCUCCAAAACUGCAGCUCUUGUGUGGUGUUCCCGGUCUGCAGUGGUCAGUAUCUAUCCUUUAAGUUUUAUAAGUACUUUAAGUCCUGUAAGUAUCAUUUAAGUCCUGUAAGUUUCGAAGUGGGGCCCAUAGAGGUCCCACCUCGUAACUUACAUGACUUAGAGGAUCUGCUGUUAACAGCUUGGUGCCAGAUACCACAGCACACCUUCAGGGAUCUAGUGGAGUCCAUGCCUCGAUGGGUCAGGGCUGUUUUGUCAGCAAAAAGGGGACCGACACAAUAUUAGGCAUGUGGUCAUAAUGUUAUGCCUGGUUGGUGUAUUUAAUAAAUCUGUGAAUCAUUCCACUGUCCCUGUCUGUUUCAAGUCAUCAGUCAAUGGAUCAGUAGAUGACCCACCGAAUAAACACACGGCUAGACUGCCAGCAUCCUCACAGCUUAUGUGGGAAUCCUGUUUAUAGGACAGUCAUCCUAGACAUACUGAACAAUUCACUCACCAAAUUUAUGUCACCGGGCAAUUUCAGACCCUCUAACCCUCAGUGCAGGUAUACGUCAGGGCUGAGUGCUCACUCAUACUUUUCUUUAUGUACACAAACAACUUCAGUGUCCUCUCUGUCAGAGUCAAGUUCACAGGUGAUAAUGUUUUGAAAGGACUGGUAUUCAACAACAUUUGCUAGCAGAUUUUUUUAAUUAAAAAGAUGAUCGUGGACCAAAUAAAACACCCACCCACAUUUUCCAUUGAAAUCAUGCAUGCCACACUGUCUUGCCUGUCCGACUAGUCCAGUUUUACAAAGCCAUCAAGUAGUCAAGUCUAAGACCUUGCAUACCUUUCAGCGCUGAUUUAUUUCAGAAGGAGCUCCUUUCCUGUUCAUCUGCAUGAAUAGUUGUCUGUCUCCAGUGUGUCUAUAGUUCUAGCUCAGACCUGUAUGAUUCCAGGAGAAGGAUGUGUACAAGGAAACAUCAUUGCAGAAACAUUCCAUCCACAGCAUUACAUAACCAUUCAGAAACAUUUUCCCAGUUUGCAGGAGAGGGUUUUUAAAAAUGUUUUGCUGUUUUGAACUGAAAUACGGACAAACAAAGCUAAAAUGAAAAUAUAAAAGCCUUUCCCAAACAAUAUACACUUCCUUUAAAUUAGCUAGAACAUUCUUGAACAGCAGAGAUUGUCAGUAAGUAUUAAAAUAAAAAUUAUUAUCACAAAUCAGGUUUAUAUUCAUUAGGAUUAAAUAUAGUAUAUGAAUAUAGCACGUAAUGUGUGUGUGUGUGUGUGUGUGUGUGUGUGAGAGAGAGAGAGAGAGAGAGAGAGGGUUUGGUCAUAAGUCUUGUAUUUUGCAGUUUUAUUUGUGGCUAACCAGAGAGUGUUUCACAUCCCGAGUCAGAUUUAUGACAAAAAAAAAAAUCUGUUUUAAAUUCUUUUAUAAACCCCAAAACAGGAUUAUUGUUGAUCCUCUGGAAGAAAUCUCACACUGCAGGGGAAAAAUGUGUCUGAAACAUCAGGCUAAAAUGAAUUAUGCCAACAAAAAAAAGCUUCUUUAGAAACAAUCAUGCAAGAAUUUGCCACAAAACCAGCACAUCUUUGAAUACGGACACAUCUUUUGUAAUGGUUCAAGAAAUAAAUCAUUGUAUAAAAUACUGAAAAUAGCAGACUAUGAAAUUUCCACAUUGGAGACGAAUUGAAAGUUCCAGCCUGAUUUAAAUCGAUGCCACAUUUCAGGUCGGAAUCCCAGAGAACGGCAGCCAAAAGGAAACCAGUCAUGCUGUUUAGCAUGAAAUCUAACAAUAGUACAUUAAACAAAAACAACACAAAACUAUGAAAUACUAAUUUUUUAAAAUUCAGAUCGGUUUCUUUAGGAAGUAGAGUCAUUUGUAAAAUGAUGGCAGUGUUUGAGGGUUUCGACAAUAUUGAUCUAUUUGGUCAGAAAUACAUGCAAACCAAAUGAACAGCACCGCAAAUCAACACGCUUCAGCUGGGAUGAGAAUGAGACACUACUCAUUUUUAUUAUCUUUACUUUAAACAUGUGAAUGCAUAUAUACUAGCCUAAAAUAGUGUGUGUGUGCAUUUGGAAGAGACUCCGUAGUUUUCUAACCUUACUGAGAGAUGUGAUUUCUUUCUGUGGGCUGUUCAUGUAUUGAAACCAAUAUUAAAUAACAUCUCUCUUGCUGUCUCUCUCUCGCUGUCUCUCUGUCUCUCUCUUGCUCUCUCUCUCUCUCUCUCUCUCUUUGUCUCUCACACACAAACACACACACGCACACACUACACUACACAUAUACCAUGAGGAACGGAUGAGUGGAGGAACGUCAGCAAGAUCAUUCCAAGAGAUUUGAUUUAAUACUUAACAGUUCAAUGAGCUGGAGCUAAACUUUUACACACACAUACGCACAGCCGACAGUCUGGCUUGAGUUCACGUGAAGAAUUUGGGAAGUGAACACACCCACUGUGGAGUGAGUUAUGAUGUGAACUGUGUGUGUGUGUGUGUGUGAGAGAGAGAGCGAGAGAGAGAGAAAGAGAGAUCAUGAUCUUCAGAUCAGCUAUUAAUGAUAACUAUGAAACAGGAAGUGGUGCAGGAAGUCAUUUUAGGACUCAUAUUGUAUCAUUUCAUAUAACAGCACUGUGAAUGUGGAAAGUGUGUGUGUGUGUGAGAGAGAGAAAGUGAGAGUGAUUAAUGAACAGCAGAUGGAGUUUUAUUGUACCAGGAAUUGUGCAAUAUCUCAUUAUUCAUUUUUCAUUCUGCACUGUGCUGAACAAUUCAGCUUCUUUUCCAGCAUCUAUAAAGUGUGUAAAAUAUCCGAUAUGUGUGUCGGGUUCCAAACAGAGAACUGAUCCCAAGUCUGUGUAGACAGCAGUUACACUUCACAGUCUGUCCACUCUGAGCUCCUUAUUUAGGCCACAUUGGAUGUUAGCAUCAUAUGAACAACUAUCCCACGAUUCUGUUCAUCACAACUGAAUGAAAAUAAAAUUUCUACAAAGAAACCAGAGAUGUGAAUGUAAGUGAACUUUCCAAGGAGUCAUUUACUAAUGUAAAUGAAUCAGUAGAGGAUUCUUUUACGUUAUAGAUUUAAGUGAAUCAGCCCAGGAGUCAUUUACUAAUGUAAAUGAACAAGUAGAGGAGUCUUUUACAUUACAGAUGUAAGUGUAUGAGUCCAGGAAUCUUUUACGAAUGUAAAUAAAUCAGUAGAGGAGUCAUUUACAUUACAUAUGUAAGUGAAUCAGUCCAGGAGCCAUUUCCUAAUGUAAAUGAAUCAGUUGAGGAGUCAUUUACUUUACAUAUGUAAAUGAAUCAGUCCAGGAUUCAUUUACUAACGUAAAUGAAUCAGUAGAGGAGUAAUUUACAUAUGUAAGUGAAUAGGUCCAGGAGUCAUUUACUAACGUAAAUGAAUCAGUAGAGGAGUCAUUUACAUUACAUAUGUAAGUGAAUCAGUCCAGGAGUCAUUUACUAAUCUAAAUGAAUCAGUAGAGGAGUAAUUUACAUUACAGAUGUAAGUGAAUUAGUCCAGGAGUCAUUUACUAAUGUAAACAAAUCAGCUGAAGAGUCAUUUACAUUACAUAUGUAAGUGAAUCAGUCCAGGAGUCAUUUACUAACAUAAAUGAAUCAGUAGAGGAGUCUUUACCAUUAAAGAUUUAAGUGAAUCAGAGUUAAUUACAAAUGAAUUUAUCGACUCAGCUAAUGGUUAAACAUAAACCAGCUAACACAAUUUCAGGUUGGAGCU
Hemibagrus wyckioides is the source of this 10109-nucleotide RNA transcript. It is a transcript of the gene named histone-lysine N-methyltransferase PRDM9-like, with no coding region annotated. Lineage: Eukaryota; Metazoa; Chordata; Actinopteri; Siluriformes; Bagridae. The record is from RefSeq and is a predicted model, not a curated record. The transcript is spliced from 11 exons.